GGCGGCGUAGCUCAGUGGUAGAGCAGCAGACUCAUAAGCUGUUGGUCGGGGGUUCAAGUCCCUCCGCCGCUACCA
This 75-nucleotide transfer RNA is filed under the name Candidatus Komeilibacteria bacterium RIFCSPLOWO2_01_FULL_45_10. RNAcentral describes it as "tRNA-Met". It matches the Rfam family "tRNA". Rfam says of the family: Transfer RNA (tRNA) molecules are approximately 80 nucleotides in length. Their secondary structure includes four short double-helical elements and three loops (D, anti-codon, and T loops). Lineage: Bacteria; Candidatus Komeiliibacteriota. The record is from RNAcentral.